This is a long non-coding RNA of Oncorhynchus nerka (sockeye salmon), 462 nucleotides long. RefSeq lists it as uncharacterized. The transcript is spliced from 2 exons. Lineage: Eukaryota; Metazoa; Chordata; Actinopteri; Salmoniformes; Salmonidae. The record is from RefSeq and is a predicted model, not a curated record.
UUGACGCCACCACAAAUGACUUCAAAGAUGGCAGUCUCAGACUGAAGUAUGUAGCGAACAUAGAGCAAGCGGAAUAAUUCAGUUUGAGUCGUCAAGCUAAUCCUGACAUGACUCUGACAUCAAUGAUUUGGACCUAAUGGGCACCAGUUUGGACUUCGUACCCUGCUGCUAUGAAUGGGAAGAUAUCCUGAAAAUAUAUCCACUCCAUAUCCUGAUGGUCAGGGUGGGGCAGCUGUAAUCUGGGAUAUGGAUUUGCUGUCACCUGACUUCACUGAUACAGAACAUCACUUCCUGGUCUUGGCUGCUUCCUCUUGCUUGCUUGAUGGAUGGCUGCCAUUCCAUGCACAAAGACGACUUCCUCAAAAACAAAUAGAUAUGCAACACACUAACUGCAUUACCACUGCUCAAUGAAGUUAUCUGGCUUUUUAGAGGGCACUUUCAUUAAAUGCUCUUAUAGAAGAA